RNAcentral lists this ribosomal RNA (396 nucleotides) under uncultured bacterium. Its description in RNAcentral is "bacterial SSU rRNA". It matches the Rfam family "Bacterial small subunit ribosomal RNA", at positions 28 to 429 of the family's 1533-position model. The record is from RNAcentral.
GACGAACGCUGGCGGCGUGCUUAACACAUGCAAGUCGAGCGGUAAGGCCCUUUCGGGGGUACACGAGCGGCGAACGGGUGAGUAACACGUGGGUGACCUGCCCUUAGCUCUGGGAUAAGCCUGGGAAACUGGGUCUAAUACCGGAUAUGACUCCAUGACGCAUGUUGUGGGGUGGAAAGCCUUGUGCGGCUAGGGAUGGGCCCGCGGCCUAUCAGCUUGUUGGUGGGGUGAUGGCCUACCAAGGCGACGACGGGUAGCCGGCCUGAGAGGGCGACCGGCCACACUGGGACUGAGACACGGCCCAGACUCCUACGGGAGGCAGCAAUGGGGAAUCUUGCGCAAUGGGCGAAAGCCUGACGCAGCGACGCCGCGUGAGGGAUGACGGCCUGGUGUAAC